UACGGGGGGGGCAAGCGUUGUUCGGAAUUACUGGGCGUAAAGGGGACGUAGGUGGCCAACUAAGUCAGACGUGAAAUCCCUCGGCUUAACCGGGGAACUGCGUCUGAUACUGGAUGGCUAGAGGUUGGGAGAGGGAUGCGGAAUUCCAGGUGUAGCGGUGAAAUGCGUAGAUAUCUGGAGGAACACCGGUGGCGAAGGCGGCAUCCUGGACCAAUUCUGACGCUGAGGAGCGAAAGCCAGGGGAGCAAACGGG
Molecule: ribosomal RNA, 253 nt
Filed under: uncultured bacterium
Lineage: Bacteria
Description: partial 16S ribosomal RNA
Rfam family: Bacterial small subunit ribosomal RNA
Source: RNAcentral